GCUGUUUGGGCUUGAACCCCAACCCCAGUUGUAUUCCCAGUUAGGACCGUGUGCUGAUCCAGUGCCGCCUUCAGUAGCUGUGCCACUCUUUUCCGGUGCACCCAUUUUGCGUCCUCCGCUGCCAGUUGUGCUAAAAGCGGUUGAAUAGGUGAAGACAAAGAUAAGUACUACGAGACUAGUGAUAUAUAAUUUUUUGCGUUCCAUAUUUUCAAAGAUGAAUAAUGGAGGGUUAAUCCACUACUAUAUAUACUGCUAGACAUGUAUGUAUGUGUUAUGUACAUAUAUAGAGAGUCUGAUAUAGGUUAUGGGAUCAGUGGCAUAUGAUUAAAUAUUGAUUGUGACUUGGUGAUACUUACAUGCACUAAGGAACUUCUGGGACACUUGUCGGGUGAGAGAGAGAGAGUACUUGAGCACCAUUUCUCUCCACCACCGCCUCCAGCUACUCGUGUAUCUUCUUUUAGUUAAGUGGAUAUAGAGAGAUCAAUUUGAGAUCUUUAUCUCAUAAUAUGUUACUAUAAACCAUUUUGUGUAAGACACUUGUGAGUUACAUGUUGAAAAUGUAUGUCUUCUAACUGAUGUUUACCAUACAAUUUAUAAGUAUCUUACUUUGUCGCAGGUAUAUUUAUCGUUAAUGUUUUGUUCUAGGGAGAAUUUCGUACAUCUUGUAGAAGUCUCCUUCAUUCAGUUUUAAUUUAUAGAUAUUGAUAUUAAUAUCAGUAUGUGUUCAGGUGUUGAAAUCAUCUGUUUUAGUCGUUUUGAAUGUUGUUGGUUUUCCUGUGGAUUGAUUGACUUGCUUAAAGUAGAG
Molecule: long non-coding RNA, 805 nt
Filed under: Daucus carota (carrot)
Lineage: Eukaryota; Viridiplantae; Streptophyta; Magnoliopsida; Apiales; Apiaceae
Description: long non-coding RNA (DCAR_LNC004604)
Source: RNAcentral